This 253-nucleotide ribosomal RNA is filed under the name uncultured bacterium. RNAcentral's name for it is "partial 16S ribosomal RNA". It matches the Rfam family "Bacterial small subunit ribosomal RNA", at positions 524 to 776 of the family's 1533-position model. The record is from RNAcentral.
UACAGAGGAUGCAAGCGUUAUCCGGAAUGAUUGGGCGUAAAGCGUCUGUAGGUGGCUUUUUAAGUCCGCCGUCAAAUCCCAGGGCUCAACUCUGGACAGGCGGUGGAAACUACCAAGCUGGAGUACGGUAGAGGAAGGUGGAAUUCCCGGUGUAGCAGUGAAAUGCGUAGAGAUCGGGAGGAACACCAGUGGCGAAGGCGGCCUUCUGGACCAGUACUGACGCUCAUGCACGAAGGCGUGGGGAGCAAACAGG